RNAcentral lists this ribosomal RNA (454 nucleotides) under uncultured bacterium. Its description in RNAcentral is "partial 16S ribosomal RNA". It matches the Rfam family "Bacterial small subunit ribosomal RNA", at positions 28 to 507 of the family's 1533-position model. The record is from RNAcentral.
GAUGAACGCUGACAGAAUGCUUAACACAUGCAAGUCUACUUGAACUUCGGUUUGGGUGGCGGACGGGUGAGUAACGCGUAAAGAACUUGCCUCACAGUUAGGGACAACAUUUGGAAACGAAUGCUAAUACCUGAUAUUAUGAUUUUAGGGCAUCCUAGGAUUAUGAAAGCUAUAUGUGCUGUGAGAGAGCUUUGCGUCCCAUUAGCUAGUUGGAGAGGUAACGGCUCACCAAGGCGAUGAUGGGUAGCCGGCCUGAGAGGGUGAACGGCCACAAGGGGACUGAGACACGGCCCUUACUCCUACGGGAGGCAGCAGUGGGGAAUAUUGGAAAAUGGACCAAAAGUCUGAUCCAGCAAUUCUGUGUGCAAGAUGACGUUUUUCGGAAUGAAAAGUGCUUUCAGUUGGGAAGAAAAAAAUGACGGUACCAACAGAAGAAGUGACGGCUAAAUACGUG